CGACCGCUGGCGGCGCGCCUAACACAUGCAAGUCGAACGAGCGAGAGAGAGCUUGCUUUCUUGAGCGAGUGGCGAACGGGUGAGUAACGCGUGAGGAACCUGCCUCAAAGAGGGGGACAACAGUUGGAAACGACUGCUAAUACCGCAUAAGCCCACGGUGCCGCAUGGCACAGAGGGAAAAGGAGCAAUCCGCUUUGAGAUGGCCUCGCGUCCGAUUAGCUAGUUGGUGAGGUAACGGCCCACCAAGGCGACGAUCGGUAGCCGGACUGAGAGGUUGAACGGCCACAUUGGGACUGAGACACGGCCCAGACUCCUACGGGAGGCAGCAGUGGGGAAUAUUGCACAAUGGGGGAAACCCUGAUGCAGCGACGCCGCGUGGAGGAAGAAGGUCUUCGGAUUGUAAACUCCUGUUGUUGGGGAAGAUAAUGACGGUACCCAACAAGGAAGUGACGGCUAACUACGUG
Molecule: ribosomal RNA, 464 nt
Filed under: uncultured bacterium
Lineage: Bacteria
Description: partial 16S ribosomal RNA
Rfam family: Bacterial small subunit ribosomal RNA
Source: RNAcentral